RNAcentral lists this ribosomal RNA (300 nucleotides) under uncultured Pyrobaculum sp. RNAcentral describes it as "bacterial SSU rRNA". The stretch from base 52 to 300 matches the Rfam family "Bacterial small subunit ribosomal RNA", at positions 547 to 795 of the family's 1533-position model. The record is from RNAcentral. Lineage: Archaea; Thermoproteati; Thermoproteota; Thermoprotei; Thermoproteales; Thermoproteaceae.
UGAGAUGGUGGGGCGGGGGCGGCGGGAAGACGGGGGUGUGCAGGGUUGUGCGGAAUUGUGGGGGGUAGAGGUUGCGUGGGGGGUGUGGCAAGUCGGAGGUGAAAUCUCUGGGCUUAAGGCAGGGGCUGCUUCCGAAACUGCGGGGCUCGAGUGUGGGAGAGGAAAGUGGAAUUGCGGGUGUAGCGGUGAAAUGCGUAGAUAUCCGCAGGAACAUCCGAGGCGAAAGCGGCUUGCUGGAUCACAACUGACGCUGAGGGACGAAAGCUAGGGGAGCAAACAGGAUUAGAUACCCCAGUAGUC